RNAcentral lists this ribosomal RNA (756 nucleotides) under uncultured bacterium. RNAcentral's name for it is "bacterial SSU rRNA". It matches the Rfam family "Bacterial small subunit ribosomal RNA", at positions 188 to 916 of the family's 1533-position model. The record is from RNAcentral.
CGCUUUUUGCGGAGUAAAGCUCAGGCGGAAUGGGAUGGGUCCGCGGCCUAUCAGCUAGUUGGUAAGGUAAUAGCUUACCAGGGCUAUGACGGGUAGGCGGGGUGAGAGCCUGACCGCCAACAAGGGCACUGCGACACGGGCCCUACUCCUACGGGAGGCUGCAGUCGAGAAUAUUGGACAAUGGGGGAAACCCUGAUCCUGCGACGCCGCGUGCUUGAAGAAGCCCUUCGGGGUGUAAAAAGCUUUUAUAGAGAAAGAACCUAACUCUCUAUGCCCAUGACUUUUUGUGGUGGGUUUUAAGAGUUAGGUGACGGUACUCUAUGAAUAAGGGGGUGCUAAUUCUGUGCCAGCAGCAGCGGUAAUACAGAAUCCCCAAGCGUUAUCCGGAUUUAUUGGGCGUAAAGGGUUAGUAGGCGUCUGGUUUUAUCUUUUGUUAAAUUUUCGAGGCUUAACCUUGAAGCUGCGAAAGAAAUAGGCCAGAUAGAGGACGUUAGAGGCUAAUGGAACGGUCAGUGUAGGGGUGAAAUCCGUUGAUAUUGACCGGAACACCGAAAGCGAAGGCAAUUAGCUGGGACGAUCCUGACGCUGAGGGACGAAAGCGUGGGGAGAGAACGGGAUUAGAUACCCCGGUAUUCCACGCUGUAAACUAUGGAUACUGGCUAUUUGAAGUGUCGACCUUCAAGUGGCGAAGCUAACGCGUUAAGUAUCCCGCCUGGGAAUUACGGCCGCAAGGCUAAAACUCAAAGGAAUUGACGG